CUUAGUGGCGGACGGGUGAGUAACGCGUGGGUAACCUGCCUCACACUGGGGGAUAACAGUUAGAAAUAGCUGCUAAUACCGCAUAAGCGCACAGUUCCGCAUGGAACGGUGUGAAAAACUCCGGUGGUGUGAGAUGGACCCGCGUCUGAUUAGCCAGUUGGCGGGGUAACGGCCCACCAAAGCGACGGUCAGUAGCCGGCCUGAGAGGGUGAACGGCCACAUUGGGACUGAGACACGGCCCAA
Molecule: ribosomal RNA, 243 nt
Filed under: uncultured bacterium
Lineage: Bacteria
Description: partial 16S ribosomal RNA
Rfam family: Bacterial small subunit ribosomal RNA
Source: RNAcentral